Molecule: non-coding RNA, 178 nt
Filed under: bacterium
Lineage: Bacteria
Description: 6S RNA
Rfam family: 6S / SsrS RNA
About the family: E. coli 6S RNA was the first non coding RNA to be sequenced, but its function was unknown until recently. It consists of 184 nucleotides that fold into an extended hairpin structure with a large single-stranded internal bulge. The 6S RNA specifically associates with RNA polymerase holoenzyme containing the sigma70 specificity factor.
Source: RNAcentral
AAAUUGCUGGAAGAUGCGACAACCCUUUAUGAAAAACCUACUAAUCGAAAUAAUAGGGAAUCUGAUUUAUUAUGGGUGUUGAAGACCUAUUAAUUUAGGGAUCCUAAACAUAGUAAUGUGAUACCCACCUGGGAGACUAGGUUUUAUUCGAUUGAGGGACCGGUCUUUUGGCUAUUUU